GGCGCAUCAGGCUCGGCCUCCUCUAUUUCCGGUGAGUUCAUCCUAUUUUUUUCUCCUUCACUAGCAUUCAUUUUUAUGUAGUUAUUUCAUUUAUCCAUGACAUCGACCAUCCUCUGUUUCAGUUAUGAAGUAAUAACAAAUGUGUCGUGCAAUGCCUGUAGAAAAGAGUUAUUAGUUGUUCCAGUCUUUGCUUGUACCUUUAUGGCGAGUAGGCUUAACUCUUUCGAACUGUAAUCUUGUCUUAGGUGGAUUCGUUUUUACAACCAACAGAAAAGAAUUGUGCCUUGGACCAUUUUUUUUCUGUAAUUGAGAAAACUUUCAAGCUAUAAUCAUAUGGGUUGAUGUGAUACAUUAUUAUUUGGCUCCACCAGAUUAACAGUUCAUAAUUACUGAUUAAUGUGGUAAUUUUUAGAGAGUGCCUAAUUAGUAUAAGUAUAGACUUCAAGAAUUAAUAGGUGCUAGAGGUACUAACAUUUUGUUCUUCUGUUUCCUAGGUUCAGAAAAUAAUGGAGAAGAUCUCAGAAAAAACAAGAACACAGAUUGCUGCUAAGGGAUAUAUUCUUUAGGAUGGAUUUGUGAUGAGCAAUCUCCCUGUUCCACCAAGCAUGCAGGAACAUAAAGGGUAUGUAGAUAAUCAGCAAAUUAAGUGCAUACUAUAUACUUGAUCAAAACUGUAUGUUAACAAGAAGUAGAGGACAUGACGGGAGGAGGGAACAAGAAGCUUCGUUUAUCAUUGAUGUUAUGUGUGAUCAACAAAAACUUGUGCUUCUCAUACAAUCUUUGUCGAACUAUGUUGAUGUGUGAUUAUGCACUUGUAGAAUUAUAUUGUUGUGCACUUGUUGGGACUUGAACCUUUAUGUGUAGAGGAGUCGAUGGAUGAUGUAUUGUAAUUUAUGUGACG
RNAcentral lists this long non-coding RNA (901 nucleotides) under Hordeum vulgare. Its description in RNAcentral is "long non-coding RNA (HVUL_LNC003646)". Lineage: Eukaryota; Viridiplantae; Streptophyta; Magnoliopsida; Poales; Poaceae. The record is from RNAcentral.